This 111-nucleotide ribosomal RNA is filed under the name uncultured Angelakisella sp. Lineage: Bacteria; Bacillati; Bacillota; Clostridia; Eubacteriales; Oscillospiraceae. The record is from RNAcentral.
GGUGUUGAUUGCGAUGAGGUCCCACCUGUUCCCAUCCCGAACACAGAAGUUAAGCUCAUUGGCGCCGAAGAUACUUGGCUGGAAGCGGCCCGGGAAAAUAGGUUGAUGCCG